Molecule: ribosomal RNA, 465 nt
Filed under: uncultured bacterium
Lineage: Bacteria
Description: bacterial SSU rRNA
Rfam family: Bacterial small subunit ribosomal RNA
Source: RNAcentral
AGGACGACGCUGGCGGCGUGCUUAACACAUGCAAGUCGAGCGAUGAAGCACCUUCGGGUGUGAAUUAGCGGCGAACGGGUGAGGAACACGUGAAGAAUCUGCCUUCAACUCUGGGAUAACUCCGGGAAACCGGGGCUAAUACCGGAUAUGAGCCUUGAUCGCAUGAUCGGGGCUGGAAAGUUUUUCGGUUGAAGAUGACUUCGCGGCCUAUCAGCUUGUUGGUGAGGUAAUGGGCUCACCAAGGCGACGACGGGUAGCCGGCCUGAGAGGGCGACCGGCCACACUGGGACUGAGACACGGCCCAGACUCCUACGGGAGGCAGCAGUGGGGAAUAUUGGGCAAUGGAGGAAACUCUGACCCAGCGACGCCGCGUGAGGGAUGAAGGCCUUCGGGUUGUAAACCUCUUUCAGUAGGGAAGAAGCGAAAGUGACGGUACCGUAAGAAUAAGCACCGGCUAACUACGUG